This is a long non-coding RNA of Macaca fascicularis (crab-eating macaque), 2782 nucleotides long. Lineage: Eukaryota; Metazoa; Chordata; Mammalia; Primates; Cercopithecidae. The record is from Ensembl.
GCAGGUAAGAUUUUGUUUCUUUAAUUGUUUUUGGAGACAGGGUCUUGAUCUGUUGCCCAGACUGGAGUGCAAUGGUCCAAACAUAGCUUACUGCAGCCUCAAACUCCUGGGCUCAAGUGAUCCUCCUGCCCCAGCCUCCCAAGUAGCUAGGACUACAUGUGCACACGACCACAUCUGACUAAUUUUUAAAAAAACUUUUUGUAGAGACAAGGUCUCACUAUGUUGCCCAGGCUGGUCUCAAACUCCUGGCCUCAGGUGAUCCUCCCACUUUGGCCUCCCAAAGCACUGGGAUUACAGGCAUGAGCCACUGCACCCAGCGUGUUUGUUUUUUAAGGACAAAAUAAUUUCAGCAUGUUCGAAAGCUAUGGAAAAAGAACCAGAGAAAGGAGUAGAUUAAGGAAGUAAGAAAGAAUGUUUGCUGCAGCAAGAUUCUAAGGCUUCAGAGUAGCAAUAUCUAGUCUAGAGAUUGCUGUUCUUCAGAUGCACACCUUUUCUGUUAUCCCUGAAUGUUGGUAAAAUCAUGUGAAACUUCACAGUCUGGGUUCAGUCUUGCUGUGGGGAGGGAAGGGAAAGAAAGGGCUGGUUCACUUCUGGCCUGGAAGAGUAGGGGGAGCAAUGUCUCCUAUAGCUAGGGCAUGGCCUAUGCCAGCCUCCCCCAUCUGAUGGGGUCCUGCCAGAGGGGAGGGCCAUGUCUUCAAUUUCUCUGCCUUACCCUACAUGGCAAAAACAUAACCUGCAAACCAGAAUGUCAGUGCUAGGGCCUAGGCCAAACAAUAGUUUUCCUGUAGGAAUGGGGAGUAUGUGUGGAUGUAUAGCAGGGGGUGAGGCUUUUGUGCAAUUCAGCUUCACCAGGCUUGAAGAAGAUGCAGUGAGGACAGUCAGGACUUGAGUAUGAGAGUGGGACCUGGGUAUGAGUGUGGAAGUCCAUCUUAGAACCUUAGAAUUCAAUGCUCUGAGGUAAAGCUGAGAGGCUCCACAGGUCUACGAGGGUUUUUCUUUGUUUCUCAGGGACUGUAAGGUGCUCAAAUUCUGAGGUAGGUGCCAUAGGAAUAUUCCUCAUAGCACAAGCGUUAUGUCAGACAAUGCUCUGCUUAUCUAUUAGUGAGUAACAAAUCUCUCUAAAACUUAAGAGGCUUAAAAUAACAUAAAUCAUAAUUUAUGAAAAAUUAUAAAUAAUUCAUCAUUUAAGGGUUAAAUGAUAAAUGAGUUAUUUCUCAUUUUGGAUAAGUCAGUUAGGAAAGACCUGUUACUGUUGUGGGUAACAUGGAACGGCCCAGAUGGUUGGAAUAACCCAACCCAGACAACUUUUUCACUCAAUGACUGAUCCCUUAGCUAGGAUGGCUCCACCAGCCUAGUGGCCCAGCUCUCCCUCUCCAAGUCCAAGUGGUCUCUGCACGUGGUUUCUCUACAGCAGGGUGGCUAAAGGGCAGCAGCUCAUGACCACCAACAGCUCAAAAUCAACGAUGCCAGGUCUUUUUUUUUUUGAGAUGGAGUCUUGCUCUGUCCCCCAGGCUAGAGUGCAGUGGCGUGAUCUCGGGUCACUGCAACCUCUGCCUCCCGGAUUCAAGCGACUCUCCUGAGUAGCUGGGAUUACAGGUGCGUGCCACCACGCCCGGCUAAUUUUGUAUUUUUAGUAGAGACAGGAUUUCACCAUGUUGGUCAGGGUGGUCUCGAACUCCUGACCUCGUGAUCUGCCCACCUCAGCCUCCCAAGGUGCUGGGAUUACAGACGUGAGCCACCGUGCCCGGCCAAGUUUGCCAGAUCUUUUUUAAGCUGAGAGUUAGAACCAAGACAUUGCCACUCCUACCACCUUCUUCUGUUGGUGAAGCUGAAUCACGGUUUCUUAUGGUCUCAAUCAUGACCCAGUCCAGAUUCCAGGGUCAAAACCAUAAAAGGCUACAUUGAUGGAAGACAUGUCUCAUUGAGGGACGCCAGAGUAACAACUACCAGACAAGAAGGGGCAGGUCUAUGGGAGCCCCAGUUCCUAAUUCUAUGUUGCCCUCUCUUCAGAGAAGAUGGUUGGAGGGCAAAUUGUGGGGAGCAAGGUAACUCCAAACUUUUACAGAAUUAAAGGUAGGGGGUCUGGUCAGCUACAGUCCGUCUGUUAUCAAGAGGCCUGGCUGUGUGUCUUCAGUCUAUUAGGCAUUUACUGAGCACAGCCUACAUACCAGGUUCUUCAUUUUCUGACACAGGGUCUUGUUUUGUUGCCCAGGCUGGAGUGCAGUGCUGCGACUGCAGCUCACUGCAGCCUUGACCUCUCCAAGCUCAAGCGAUCCUCCUGCCUCAGCCUCUCGAGUAGCUGGGGCUACAGGCGCGCACCACCACGCUCGGAUAAUUUUUCUGUUUUUGGUAGAGACAGGGUCUCACCCUGUUGGCCAGGCUGGUCUCGGAUCCCAGAGCUCAAGUGAUCCGCCUGCCUCGGUUUCCCAAAGUGCUGGGAUUACAGGCGUAAGCCUCCGCGCCCGGCCUAUGCCCAGUUCUACAUGUGUUCUUUCUUUACUCCUGUGUUACAGACGCUCGAAUGAGGCCUGACUUCUACAGUACCGCACCCAGCACCACACCGCGACCGACGUAGCCUCCUGUGCUCUUUCUGUCCGGCAGCUGGAGUUGGGGUAAAGCGCCGGGUCUCUUGGAGGGCAACACUCAACGCGGUCGGCUCCUAGGCAUCCAGUGGGGCUGCAACCCCGCCGCCGGGGGCGACAGGCGAAGGUGAAAACCUAGAGCUGGGACAGCGCAGCCGGGUUUCAGCUGGUUCUAGAGUCCACGUCAGAAGACCGCGCCC